This 250-nucleotide ribosomal RNA is filed under the name uncultured bacterium. RNAcentral describes it as "partial 16S ribosomal RNA". It matches the Rfam family "Bacterial small subunit ribosomal RNA", at positions 524 to 773 of the family's 1533-position model. The record is from RNAcentral.
GACGGAGGAUGCAAGCGUUAUCCGGAAUUAUUGGGCGUAAAGCGUCCGCAGGUGGCAUUUCAAGUCUGCUGUCAAAGACCGGGGCUUAACCCCAGAAAGGCAGUGGAAACUGAAAAGCUAGAGAGAGGUAGGGGCAGAGGGAAUUCCCAGUGUAGCGGUGAAAUGCGUAGAGAUUGGGAAGAACACCGGUGGCGAAAGCGCUCUGCUGGACCUUAUCUGACACUCAGGGACGAAAGCUAGGGGAGCGAAU